CAUCUUCAUCGCCAUUACCAAUAUUCUAAUGGGGGUGAUGGGUUUGUAGAUACUUUCCUACUCAGGGCAGCAGCAUAAAAAAGAAGGAAUUGGUUUGUAGAUUAUAGAAUCAAUCUCUUCUUUUACAAUGGGGAUUUCUUCGGAUAACGUUCAUGGCCUUGUAUUGGCGUUAUCGUCGAGUGUUUUUAUUGGUUCCAGCU
Papaver somniferum (opium poppy) is the source of this 200-nucleotide long non-coding RNA. RefSeq lists it as uncharacterized. The transcript has 2 exons. Lineage: Eukaryota; Viridiplantae; Streptophyta; Magnoliopsida; Ranunculales; Papaveraceae. The record is from RefSeq and is a predicted model, not a curated record.